This 28-nucleotide non-coding RNA is filed under the name Bombyx mori (domestic silkworm). Lineage: Eukaryota; Metazoa; Arthropoda; Insecta; Lepidoptera; Bombycidae. The record is from RNAcentral.
UAACACUGAUCGAAAGGGGUGCAAGGGA